This 462-nucleotide ribosomal RNA is filed under the name uncultured bacterium. RNAcentral describes it as "bacterial SSU rRNA". It matches the Rfam family "Bacterial small subunit ribosomal RNA", at positions 64 to 524 of the family's 1533-position model. The record is from RNAcentral.
GAACGGAAAGGCCCUGCUUGCAGGGUGCUCGAGUGGCGAACGGGUGAGUAACACGUGGGUGAUCUGCCCUGCACUUCGGGAUAAGCUUGGGAAACUGGGUCUAAUACCGGAUAGGACUCCGAGAUGCAUGUCUUGGGGUGGAAAACGUUUAGUGGUGUGGGAUGGGCCCGCGGCCUAUCAGCUUGUUGGUGGGGUGAUGGCCUACCAAGGCGACGACGGGUAGCCGGCCUGAGAGGGUGUCCGGCCACACUGGGACUGAGAUACGGCCCAGACUCCUACGGGAGGCAGCAGUGGGGAAUAUUGCACAAUGGGCGCAAGCCUGAUGCAGCGACGCCGCGUGGGGGAUGACGGCCUUCGGGUUGUAAACCUCUUUCACCAUCGGCGAAGCCCAUAGCUUUUGUUGUGGGUGACGGUAGGUGGAGAAGAAGCACCGGCCAACUACGUGCCAGCAGCAGCGGUAAU